AUGGCGGGCUCCUGGCGAGCCGCGGCGCUGGCGGUGGCGAUGGUUUGUUUCGUCGCCAGCAGCUGCGUGCUCGGGUUCCCGGAGGAGGAUUUGGUGGGGCGGCUGCCCGGGCAGCCCGCCGUGGGGUUCAGGCAGUUCGCCGGGUACGUGGACGUCGACGUCAAGGCCGGGAGGAGCCUCUUCUACUACUUCGCGGAGGCGCAGGACAACGCCGCCGGCAGGCCGCUCACGCUCUGGCUCAACGGAGGUCCUGGCUGUUCUUCGGUUGGAGGCGGCGCGUUUACGGAGCUCGGCCCGUUUUAUCCCAGAGGAGAUGGCAGAGGCCUUCGGUUAAACAAGAAGUCGUGGAAUAAAGUGUCCAAUCUUCUAUUUGUUGAAUCACCCGCUGGAGUUGGAUGGUCCUACUCCAACACUUCGUCAGACUACAAUACAGGAGAUGCGCGGACCGCUAAUGAUAUGUACAAAUUUCUGUUGGGAUGGUAUAAGAAGUUCCCGGAGUACAGAUCAAGCAGCUUACUUCUUUCGGGAGAGAGCUAUGCAGGGCAUUAUAUACCGCAACUCACCGACGUCCUUCUCACACACAAUGAGAAAUCUAAGGGUUUUAAGUUCAAUAUCAAGGGGGUAGCUAUCGGGAAUCCGUUACUCAAGCUUGACAGGGAUGUCCCCGCGACAUAUGAGUACUUCUGGUCCCAUGGUAUGAUAUCCGAUGAGAUAUUUCUGGCCAUAAACAAGGGUUGUGAUUUUGAGGAUUACACAUUCGGUAGCCCCCACAAUGAGAGCAAGUCAUGCAAUGAUGCCAUUGCGGAGGCAAAUGCUGUAGUUGGACAAUAUGUCAACAACUAUGAUGUCAUUCUCGACGUCUGUUACCCAUCGAUUGUGAUGCAGGAGCUACGACUGCGCAAAUAUGUGACCAAGAUCAGUUUAGGAGUGGAUGUUUGCAUGUCAUAUGAAAGGUACUUCUACUUCAAUCUUCCAGAAGUGCAGCAUGCUCUUCAUGCUAAUAGAACACAUCUACCUUAUGGCUGGGGCAUGUGCAGUGAUGUGCUGAAUUACACCGAUAAGGAUGGUAACAUCAACAUCUUGCCUUUACUUCAGAGAAUAGUGGAACAUAAGAUACCAGUUUGGAUAUUCAGCGGCGAUCAAGACUCUGUGGUGCCCCUCUUGGGCUCCCGAACCCUUGUGCGAGAGCUAGCUCAUGACAUGGGGUUGCCUGUCACAGUUCCGUACAGUACUUGGUUCCGCAAAGGCCAGGUUGGAGGCUGGACAACAGAGUACGGUAAUCUUCUGACCUUUGCAACAGUGCGGGGCGCAUCUCACAUGGUGCCAUUUGCACAGCCAGACCGAGCUCUCGGCCUAUUUCGCUCAUUUGUGCUUGGACAGAGGCUCCCAAACACAACCUAUCCACCCAUUGGCGACUAA
Molecule: ribosomal RNA, 1419 nt
Filed under: Triticum aestivum (bread wheat)
Lineage: Eukaryota; Viridiplantae; Streptophyta; Magnoliopsida; Poales; Poaceae
Description: partial small subunit ribosomal RNA
Source: RNAcentral